GCAGUCGUACGAGAGUUUUUAACUCAAGUGGCGGACGGGUGAGUAACACGUGAGAAUCUACCUUUAGGAGGGGGAUAACAACUGGAAACGGUUGCUAAUACCCCAUAUGCUUUCGAGUGAAAUGGAUUUAUCCGCCUAGAGAGGAGCUCGCGGCUGAUUAGCUUGUUGGUAGGGUAAUGGCCUACCAAGGCGACGAUCAGUAUCUGGUUUGAGAGGACGAUCAGACACACUGGAGCUGAGACACGGUCCAGACUCCUACGGGAGGCAGCAGUGGGGAAUCUUCCGCAAUGGGCGAAAGCCUGACGGAGCAAUACCGCGUGAGGGAAGACGGCCUAUGGGUUGUAAACCUCUUUUCUCAGGGAGGAACUCAAUGACGUGUACCUGAGGAAUAAGCAUCGGCUAACUCCGUGCCAGCAGCCGCGGUAAGACGGAGGAUGCAAGUGUUAUCCGGAAUCACUGGGCGUAAAGCGUCUGUAGGUGGUUUAAUAAGUCAACUGUUAAAUCUUGAAGCUCAACUUCAAAAUCGCAGUCGAAACUAUUAGACUAGAGUAUAGUAGGGGUAAAGGGAAUUUCCAGUGGAGCGGUGAAAUGCGUAGAGAUUGGAAAGAACACCGAUGGCGAAGGCACUUUACUGGGCUAUUACUAACACUCAGAGACGAAAGCUAGGGUAGCAAAUGGGAUUAGAUACCCCAGUAGUCCUAGCUGUAAACAAUGGAUACUAGAUGUUGAACAGAUCGACCAGUGCAGUAUUAAAGCUAACGCGUUAAGUAUCCCGCCUGGG
Molecule: ribosomal RNA, 781 nt
Filed under: uncultured cyanobacterium
Lineage: Bacteria; Bacillati; Cyanobacteriota
Description: bacterial SSU rRNA
Rfam family: Bacterial small subunit ribosomal RNA
Source: RNAcentral